This 742-nucleotide unclassified non-coding RNA is filed under the name Hevea brasiliensis (rubber tree). Lineage: Eukaryota; Viridiplantae; Streptophyta; Magnoliopsida; Malpighiales; Euphorbiaceae. The record is from RNAcentral.
AACAAUUAUAUACUCAGUUGCAGAGGAUCAUUUCCUGAGAAGCCUGGCGGGAGACACCAAACAACAGCAGCAUCCAGAAAACGCCGUGCCCACAGUACAAAGAAAAAAAAACUUUUGGCUUUCGGCCAUCCCCAAACCCUUAAAAAUGGGAAGCAACCACUUUUUAUCCCAAUACCCAAAAAACACCAAGAACACUCCUCUCUCUUAUCUCACGGUCUCUCAUCUGUUCAUUUUGUUCCUUUUUCCGGAAAAAAAAAAGCCUGUGUAAGAUUUCAUAUCUCCUUUUUGUUACUUGUUUAUCUUUUUCUUCUGGGUUUUCUUGCCUUUAUAGUUGUUCUUUGUGAGAAUAACAGAUCUAAAAGUUUCAUCCCACAGUCACCUCCUAUUUGGCCUUAAAUUUUCUGGGAUUUUUUUGUCAAAUUCUUUUUUUUUUUAUUUUUGUUAUAUAUCUGGGUCGGUUUUGCUUGCGGUAUUCUGCCGGUUGGUUUUGCUUGUGGAACUCUAGUAGCUGUUGUUUUUAUUUAUUUUUCUGUUUAAUUGUUGGAGUGCUUGUUACAAUUGCUUUGGAUUUCGUGGGGUGUGUAUAUUCUGGUGCCAUUUUCUUUCUUGGCUGGUGGGUUUUUAUUUGGAAGUUCUUAAAUUUGUCUUAUUUCUUGAAAUUUUCAUUUUUUUUUUCCUAAUCCUGGCAGAAAUUUACCAGUAUAAUGAUUAUGUUGUUAUAGUUUUCUUUGGGAUCAUUUGC